CCUACGGGAGGCAGCAGUGGGGAAUUUUGGACAAUGGGCGCAAGCCUGAUCCAGCAAUGCCGCGUGCAGGAUGAAGGCCUUCGGGUUGUAAACUGCUUUUGUACGGAACGAAACGGUUCGCUUUAAUACAGUGGGCUAAUGACGGUACCGUAAGAAUAAGCACCGGCUAACUACGUGCCAGCAGCCGCGGUAAUACGUAGGGUGCGAGCGUUAAUCGGAAUUACUGGGCGUAAAGCGUGCGCAGGCGGUUUUGUAAGACAGAUGUGAAAUCCCCGGGCUCAACCUGGGACCUGCAUUUGUGACUGCAAGGCUAGAGUACGGUAGAGGGGGAUGGAAUUCCGCGUGUAGCAGUGAAAUGCGUAGAUAUGCGGAGGAACACCGAUGGCGAAGGCAAUCCCCUGGACCUGUACUGACGCUCAUGCACGAAAGCGUGGGGAGCAAACAGGAUUAGAUACCCUGGUAGUCCACGCCCUAAACGAUGUCAACUGGUUNUUGGGUCUUCACUUGACUCAGUACGAAGCUAACGCGUGAAGUUGACCGCCUGGGGAUCGGCCGCAAGGUUGAAACUCAAANAGAGUAGAGGCGUGAGACGUAGCGACGGACGACGACGAGGGAGGAGG
RNAcentral lists this ribosomal RNA (620 nucleotides) under uncultured bacterium. Its description in RNAcentral is "bacterial SSU rRNA". It matches the Rfam family "Bacterial small subunit ribosomal RNA", at positions 338 to 954 of the family's 1533-position model. The record is from RNAcentral.